GGGAAAAUUACUCAUCCACGUAUAGCGAAUGGAUACACGUAUGUACAUCCCUGGGUCCUACAGGGUUUAAUAUCGUGAAGGGUAGUCGAGAGGAAGGAAGAUAGGGACGACCCUAAAGCGAGGGAGUGCUGAUGCUAAAGCCGCGAGCAUGAAGGGACCUUCAAAUAAAAAAAAAGAUAGGACCUACUGAGCAAGCGAGCGAACAAGAGAGAGAGAAAGAAAAGGAAAGAGAAUCCGGUCCCCCUUCUUUCGAGACCAGGGAAAGGCCGCACCCACGCAGUUCUUGAAGAUCAUGUUGGGUCCCCGCUGGCACAGCCCUGAGCGUGUAAGUAAACACGCCAAAGUUCUAGUACUUGAACAUGGAGCGAACAUUUUCCACAAGGUUGGAUAUCCCUCGUGAAACACGAAUGCUGGCCACUCAUGUAAAUUCAUAGAAAGCCUUUCAAUUCAACCAUUAUGGGAAAUACACGCAAUAAGAACAGAAUAUAUAUUGGAAAUUGUAAAGAAAAAAGUUUCGAGAUUGUAAAUUGAUAGGUUAAGUCGAGAUAGGUUAUUUUCAUGUAAGAAGCGCGAAAAACGUAGAACAAAUAAAUUGUUACUCCAACCUUAUAACAUUGCAUAAUAUCGACGAAGUUGCGCUACGUUUUUACUGUGCAACAUCUUCACCUUGCCUUUAAGGCAAAUUCACAUUUGCCUGUGUCAUAACAGUUAUAUUAUAACAAUACUUGAACGUAAGAUAAUCAGAAUGCACAUGCUUGGCUAGCGAGUUGGUCGCUUAGGUUAAGCCAAAGUCAACACGUGGCAACGCCGCGCUACAGCUGUCAUACACGUCACGCAUCGAGUCAAAGCUCAACUUAUUCUACAUAAGUGUUUUAUAAGAGUUGGUCGAGGAGAGAUCUGUCUCUCCCGUUACGCGAUACGAAACGAAAACGACUAUGACUGGGAAGAAGUUGCACGCUCUCUGUCCGACUUUUUGAUCGGUAGGAAAAAUCAUUUCUCCGUUAAAGGACAGCAUUGUGCGGUCAGAGUACAUACUACUGGCUCUGUGUUUGGGGCUACCCAGCGUUACCUCGUAACAUUCUCAUGCCAUCAACUUCCCUCUCCCGAAAUCCCAGACGGGAAAGUGAGUUUCGGAACAUGAUUGUUAAUUUUACGUAACGUACGACUCGGUUGCUCACUAGGAACAAGUUUCCCCUCCUGCUUUUACCCAGAUCUCCGUUCGAUAUCCAACUUGAAUUUUCUCGACAGUAAUUUCUCGAUGAAUAAAAAAGCGAGGUUAUGUGCCUCUUUUGAAUUUCCCGCUACAAUUCUCACGCUCUCCGUGAGCAUAAUCUUCGUUCUCUCUCUCUCUCUCUCUCUUUGUUGUUGAAACAAGUUGCGGUACAGACUGCGACGGUGUUUUCGAAAAACAAACGAACGUUAUCUCGGCGCAGCGAUGUUAACCUUUCAACGAAGGCACCAAACAGACCAGGAGCCAGUGAAGAAAUAAAGAGGGAUUGACAACGAAAGAAAGGAUGGAGGGAUAGGGUUAGUCUGUAUCAACUGUGCACCCUUAUCAAUUGGAAAAUUGGUGUGUGCAGUGGGAGCGGAAGAGGAGGGGAUUCGACAACGUUCAACUCGAUUUGGUGGGGGAAGAACGAUUAGGUUUACGCGCCUGCUAGGGGCGUACAUAUCAAAGGGUCGACGUAGGGGCUACUGUACACAGGGAAUAUUAGUUCAGAUACAAUUUUCGUUCUUGAAUUUCGUAGCGGCCAAACUUGGUGGCGAAAGGGAAGGGGAAUUCGGUACAAAAAGCAGGGGCGUAUCCAAGGAAUAGGAUGAGACGAUCUUUGUGUGCACGUUGUGAGAGAAACCGAAAGAACCAGCAAAUGAAUCAGCGAGAAAGAGUACGGAGAGGGACGAACGCCAGUAAGGAACGGAAGAAGAGCGACUCAGGCGUCUAGGGCGCAUGCGUCACUCAUCGUGGGCGUCGAGAAUGUGUUGACACGAGAACUUGAGAGAACGCCGUAGCCCUAAUGCCACGACGCGACGGCCCGUGUUAUCGUCGAUACGGUUCCCAUACUGCGGGUCCGCCCCGUCAUCGCGAAAUCUGGGUCUUUCAUCCUGACGAAAUCGGGUCUCUGUCGGUGUCAACUCUCUACGGGGAUUGAUGAUUCAGAAAUUACUGUGCAAAUGAUAAACAGAACAAAUAGAAAUGAGCUAGACAUGAAUUGGAGACGUUUUCUAAUCUUCACCUGUGAAUUGUUAUAUACAUAUAUCAUUCGAACAUACAUAUAUCUCUUAUUCGAAUUAAUAUCUGUCUUGACAUAUUCAAUUAUUCACUUGUAAUUUCUUGUGGAACAUUAUUGAAGAAGUAUUCACUGUAGAAUGCUUAUAAAUUUUCAUUGAAGCUUUUUUUCUCUCGCUUCUAGAAACCUAUUUUUCAGGGAACUUUUAUCCGAUGUUUAAAAGCUUGUAUAAGUAUAGAGUUAGCCGCGUAGCUACAGGGAAUGAUGUUCUCCACGCAGUAAAUUUAUAUUGGACUAUAAUCAAAUAAGCUGGCCGCAGAAGAUAUCCAUAUGUCUAAAUUAUCAUCGGUUUCACGAUGCUUUAAAUAUACCGCGCGACAAUGUUCGAUAGGAUAUGACGUGUAAAAUAAUUUUUAGGUUAACAUCUAACUAUUUAUUUUAGUAUCCUAGUUUUAUUUGUUAUAGAAAAAAUAUAUUAUUUAACACUGAAAUUAAUAAAAUUGUAAUUGCAUGUAAUAUAUUUCAGUCACCAACGUACCAAGUUUCAUGUAUGAGUAGAAUCUGUUAGAAGAAAUGUUGCAAAAUCCUAUGCAUUUAUGAGCGGACCUUACGGAACAGUAAGAAAAUCAUGAUUGUUGCUUAUAACUUUUGGCCAUCUGAGUAAACGAAGAAAACGCACUUUAAUUUUUACAUAUAUCUACAUGUUGUCAUGAAAAUUAAAAGGUUUUAAAUAUA
Molecule: long non-coding RNA, 2963 nt
Organism: Bombus impatiens (common eastern bumble bee)
Lineage: Eukaryota; Metazoa; Arthropoda; Insecta; Hymenoptera; Apidae
Exons: 2
Source: RefSeq, a predicted model, not a curated record